Molecule: ribosomal RNA, 552 nt
Filed under: Alopecosa trabalis
Lineage: Eukaryota; Metazoa; Arthropoda; Arachnida; Araneae; Lycosidae
Description: partial large subunit ribosomal RNA
Rfam family: Eukaryotic large subunit ribosomal RNA
Source: RNAcentral
CCCUGGAGUAACGGGCGAGCGAAAAGGGAGGAGCCCAGCGCCGAAUCCCCGAUCUUACGGGUCGCGGGAAAUGUGGCGUUUAGGAGUGAGCGUGCCGAGAUCGGGACCCGCAGCAAGUCCCCCUGACCGGGGCCUUCCCAGAGCGGGUGCGAGGCCCAUAGCCGCGGAGCCCGUCUCGGAUGCGAUCUCCUGGGAGUCGGGUUGCUUGGGAGUGCAGCCCUAAUCGGGUGGUAAACUCCACCUAAGGCUAAAUACUGCCGUGAGACCGAUAGCAAACAAGUACCGUGAGGGAAAGUUGCAAAGAACUUUGAAGAGAGAGUUCAAGAGUACGUGAAACUGCUCAGAGGUAAACGGGUGGGCCCUCGAAAUCCUGUGGCGGGAGGAUUCAGUCUGGAUUUGGCGUCGCGCUGGUCGGAAAUCUGGAAGGGCUUCCCUCGAACGGGGGCGUCCGACCGCCAACUUCCCCUAAGGCCGACGCCUUUGUCUCCCGCUCUGAGGACGCCGCAGCCGGUCUGGCAGUGCCAACGUGACGGCCUGGAAGUCCGGGCGACG